GCGGUGGGUUGCUCGGGCGUUGGGUCGGUCCGAGCUUGCGGUGCGGGCGCGGCUGGUUCUUGAGGACCCGGUGCGAGGCCGGCUGGUGUUC
This 91-nucleotide transfer RNA is filed under the name Phytohabitans houttuyneae. Its description in RNAcentral is "tRNA-Ala". The record is from RNAcentral. Lineage: Bacteria; Bacillati; Actinomycetota; Actinomycetes; Micromonosporales; Micromonosporaceae.